RNAcentral lists this transfer RNA (72 nucleotides) under Chlorocebus sabaeus (green monkey). RNAcentral describes it as "tRNA-Ala (AGC) (tRNA-Ala-AGC-4-1)". It matches the Rfam family "tRNA". Rfam says of the family: Transfer RNA (tRNA) molecules are approximately 80 nucleotides in length. Their secondary structure includes four short double-helical elements and three loops (D, anti-codon, and T loops). Lineage: Eukaryota; Metazoa; Chordata; Mammalia; Primates; Cercopithecidae. The record is from Rfam by way of RNAcentral.
GGGGGUGUAGCUCAGCGGUAGAGCGCGUGCUUAGCAUGCACGAGGCCCUGGGUUCAAUCCCCAGCACCUCCA